This 402-nucleotide ribosomal RNA is filed under the name uncultured bacterium. RNAcentral describes it as "bacterial SSU rRNA". It matches the Rfam family "Bacterial small subunit ribosomal RNA", at positions 355 to 749 of the family's 1533-position model. The record is from RNAcentral.
GGGGGAAUUUUGGACAAUGGGGGAAACCCUGAUCCAGCCAUGCCGCGUGCAGGAUGAAGGCCUUCGGGUUGUAAACUGCUUUUGUACGGAACGAAAAGACUCUUUCUAAUACAGAGGGUCCAUGACGGUACCGUAAGAAUAAGCACCGGCUAACUACGUGCCAGCAGCCGCGGUAAUACGUAGGGUGCAAGCGUUAAUCGGAAUUACUGGGCGUAAAGCGUGCGCAGGCGGUUAUAUAAGACAGAUGUGAAAUCCCCGGGCUCAACCUGGGAACUGCAUUAGUGACUGUAUAGCUGGAGUGCGGCAGAGGGGGAUGGAAUUCCGCGUGUAGCAGUGAAAUGCGUAGAUAUGCGGAGGAACACCGAUGGCGAAGGCAAUCCCCUGGGCCUGCACUGACGCUCA